Molecule: ribosomal RNA, 245 nt
Filed under: uncultured bacterium
Lineage: Bacteria
Description: partial 16S ribosomal RNA
Rfam family: Bacterial small subunit ribosomal RNA
Source: RNAcentral
UACGUAGGCAGCGAGCGUUGUUCGGAAUUACUGGGCGUAAAGAGUCUGUAGGCGGUGCUCUAAGUCUGGUGUGAAAUCUCCCGGCUCAACUGGGAGGGUGCGCCGGAAACUGGAGUGCUCGAGUGUGGGAGAGGUAAGCGGAAUUCCUGGUGUAGCGGUGAAAUGCGUAGAUAUCAGGAGGAACACCUGUGGUGUAGACAGCUUACUGGACCAUCACUGACGCUGAGAGACGAAAGCGUGGGUAG